UACGGAGGAUGCAAGUGUUAUCCGGAAUCACUGGGCGUAAAGCGUCUGUAGGUGGUUCGAAAAGUCCACUGUUAAAAAUUGAGGCUUAACCUCAAAGAUGCCGUGGAAACUUUCAAACUAGAGUAUGGUAGGGGUAGAGGGAAUUUCCAGUGGAGCGGUGAAAUGCGUAGAUAUUGGAAAGACCACCGAUGGCGAAGGCACUCUACUGGGCCAUUACUGACACUGAGAGACGAAAGCUAGGGGAGCAAAUGGG
This 253-nucleotide ribosomal RNA is filed under the name uncultured bacterium. RNAcentral describes it as "partial 16S ribosomal RNA". It matches the Rfam family "Bacterial small subunit ribosomal RNA", at positions 524 to 776 of the family's 1533-position model. The record is from RNAcentral.